Centruroides sculpturatus (bark scorpion) is the source of this 491-nucleotide long non-coding RNA. RefSeq lists it as uncharacterized. The transcript has 3 exons. The record is from RefSeq and is a predicted model, not a curated record. Lineage: Eukaryota; Metazoa; Arthropoda; Arachnida; Scorpiones; Buthidae.
AGCGGAGAAGAAGAGUCGUAUCCUGGGAACGAAGAGGCAAGAUAGGAAACUGUUCGAAAGUCGUCCAUCGUGUAACUUUCUUUUGUUUUAUUGUUUUAAUCCCACAUUUUUAAGGCUUCGUUCAGGAUCGAACAGAAAAGUUAGAAGACGACGGUUGGAAAAGAACGUCGUCGUGAUUCGACCGCCAUGUUGAGAUUCGGGAUUGACCAAAAAUCUGCUGGAAGUUGGAUGGCCCGGAAUGAAAAAUACGAAUAGCUACGUUUGUCCUUAUUGCAGUAAAGUCUUUCGAUGCAAAUCUCAACUUGAUGAACAUCUCAUAUCCCAUUCAAAAGAUCAAAACUGCCGAUGCGAAUUUUGUCCUAUGAAAUAUAAACACGAGAACAGUUUGGAGUACCAUAUAAAACAGAAACAUCAGAUAGAAAUGCACCAAGAGGGUAACCAAACUAUGGAAGUAGCUAAUACUUUUAGGCCGAGUCUCCACUACCGUAAAA